CCUAGUCGGGACCUAAGCCGAGGCCGAAAGGCGUAGGCGAUGGACAACAGGUUGAUAUUCCUGUACCACCUCCUCACCAUUUGAGCAAUGGGGGGACGCAGGAGGAUAGGGUAAGCGCGGUAUUGGAUAUCCGCGUCCAAGCAGUUAGGCUGGGAAAUAGGCAAAUCCGUUUCCCAUAAGGCUGAGCUGUGAUGGCGAGCGAAAUAUAGUAGCGAAGUUCCUGAUUCCACACUGCCAAGAAAAGCCUCUAGCGAGGUGAGAGGUGCCCGUACCGCAAACCGACACAGGUAGGCGAGGAGAGAAUCCUAAGGUGAUCGAGAGAACUCUCGUUAAGGAACUCGGCAAAAUGACCCCGUAACUUCGGGAGAAGGGGUGCUCUGUUAGGGUGCAAGCCCGAGAGAGCCGCAGUGAAUAGGCCCAGGCGACUGUUUAGCAAAAACACAGGUCUCUGCGAAGCCGUAAGGCGAAGUAUAGGGGCUGACGCCUGCCCGGUGCUGGAAGGUUAAGAGGAGCGCUUAGCGUAAGCGAAGGUGCGAAUUGAAGCCCCAGUAAACGGCGGCCGUAACAAUAACGGUCCUAAGGUAGCGAAAUUCCUUGUCGGGUAAGUUCCGACCCGCACGAAAGGCGCAACGAUCUGGGCACUGUCUCAACGAGAGACUCGGUGAAAUUAUAGUACCUGUGAAGAUGCAGGUUACCCGCGGCAGGACGGAAAGACCCCGUGGAGCUUUACUGCAGCCUGAUAUUGAAUGUUGGUACAGCUUGUACAGGAUAGGUAGGAGCCUUGGAAACCGGAGCGCCAGCUUCGGUGGAGGCAUCGGUGGGAUACUACCCUGGCUGUAUUGACCUUCUAACCGCCGCCCUUAUCGGGCGGGGAGACAGUGUCAGGUGGGCAGUUUGACUGGGGCGGUCGCCUCCUAAAAGGUAACGGAGGCGCCCAAAGGUUCCCUCAGAAUGGUUGGAAAUCAUUCGCAGAGUGUAAAGGCACAAGGGAGCUUGACUGCGAGACCUACAAGUCGAGCAGGGACGAAAGUCGGGCUUAGUGAUCCGGUGGUUCCGCAUGGAAGGGCCAUCGCUCAACGGAUAAAAGCUACCCCGGGGAUAACAGGCUUAUCUCCCCCAAGAGUCCACAUCGACGGGGAGGUUUGGCACCUCGAUGUCGGCUCAUCGCAUCCUGGGGCUGUAGUCGGUCCCAAGGGUUGGGCUGUUCGCCCAUUAAAGCGGUACGCGAGCUGGGUUCAGAACGUCGUGAGACAGUUCGGUCCCUAUCCGUCGCGGGCGCAGGAAAUUUGAGAGGAGCUGUCCUUAGUACGAGAGGACCGGGAUGGACGCACCGCUGGUGUACCAGUUGUUCUGCCAAGGGCAUCGCUGGGUAGCUAUGUGCGGACGGGAUAAGUGCUGAAAGCAUCUAAGCAUGAAGCCCCCCUCAAGAUGAGAUUUCCCAUUCCGCAAGGAAGUAAGAUCCCUGAAAGAUGAUCAGGUUGAUAGGUCUGAGGUGGAAGUGUGGCGACACAUGGAGCUGACAGAUACUAAUCGAUCGAGGACUUAACCU
Molecule: ribosomal RNA, 1549 nt
Filed under: metagenome
Description: bacterial LSU rRNA
Rfam family: Bacterial large subunit ribosomal RNA
Source: RNAcentral